Molecule: long non-coding RNA, 3572 nt
Filed under: Citrus x clementina
Lineage: Eukaryota; Viridiplantae; Streptophyta; Magnoliopsida; Sapindales; Rutaceae
Description: Citrus clementina (C. clementina) long non-coding RNA (CCLE_LNC001322)
Source: RNAcentral
UCUGGGUUUAUCAAGUGAUGCCUAAGAUCGGUCCUGCUUCAUACAAUUACCCGGCUCAAAAUGCCUGAAUGUGGCCCGGGUCUGGACCGAACGAGUAUUUUUACCACCCCUAAUGCCAAGGCAGAAAAGUCGUGUGACAGUAGCAAUUAACGAAAUUAAUUAAUUAUAUACAUUACACAGGGAGCAAGAGAGAUAUUAUUACAUAAGGAUGUACGGUGAAUUUAUUAGUUUUUUAACGCUGUAUUUUAAUUUAAUUAAUUAAAGGUUUCCUUCGUCAUUGAGUUCUGUGACGAUAUAUGUAGUUUUUCAUUUUUUGCAAGUUAAUUUAAUAUCUUCUGUUGGAUUCAAUCAUUCAAUGGAGCUCAAGACAACAACGACAACAACCACAACCAAAUUGAUUACUGCGAGCUAAUAAAUAUUUUUAAAGAGCAAGUAAAUGGCGAAACGUCAAACUUUCGGAAGACGUGCAUGGGAGAGCGACUUCACAGUGUACUAAUGACCAAAACUACAAGAAAUAAGAAAGAACCCCCAGGCAAAGAGCAUGCUCAACCCGUACACUUACGGGUGGUUUAAUCGAGACUCCUCUGGUAGAGUUUUACGAUGCAGACGAUGACCAUAAAACCAUGCACAACUACAUCACAAGGGCCCCCAAAAGUUCAAACAAAAAAAAAAAAAACAAAAAUUUAGAGUACGAUAAAAUUCAUUAUGAUUCGUUCUAAUAAUUAAAUUACUAAUUUAUUUAACUGAUUUUGCAAUCAAUCUGCUGUCUGAUGUCGAAAUCAGACGUGAUAGUGAUAGUACAUUAACUAACGAACCUUGAUUGUUGGUCUACGCACGCCAUUUCUGGCUACAGGGUAUAGCUCUGUCCAGCUUUUUGUAUUUUUAAAUUCCCAGAGGAAUCACCCUGUUCAAAUAAUUAAGGAAACAAUAAUCAAUUGCCAUGCACAAAGUCAUAAUAUUGUAAUGAUAAUUGAUAAUUGAUAUGAAUGCUAUGGCUGUUCUGACUUUCUAACCUUUUUUUCUUUUCUUUGUAGUAUUAGAAAUAGGGUAUUAUUUUAGAACUAUGCUAUUUAUCUUGAGUAUCAAGCUGCCAUGCAUUUAAAACUACUAAUUAACAAGGCAUACGUAAUGCAUUUAAAAUUAGGUCUGCGAUUAAAAUUUCAAAAUUAGGCUCUGGUAUUCGGUGGAUGAGGAUUCUCAUCACCAUAAUAGCGUUUCGUAUUUGCCUUUCAAAUUAAGCAAAUAUAUUUGAUUGGAAUGUGACUCUCAUCUGCUGUUGUUGUUUGUGCUCACAGUGCUUCUUUUAGUCUUCCUUGUUCCCAAUAUUAAUUCUACUGCAUUCCGAUGUGCUCACAUUCAUUUUUAAAAACUCGAUUGCAGAUGGUUUGGCAAACUGUGGAUUAUUUUGUGAUUCUUACGCGUGGUAAGAUAAUACUCCGCAGUUUAUUCUUAAAGGUAUUUUUGGAGGAAUCUUGGGCCUUACUUAACCGCUUCACCUAAAUCUUUUCUGCCUCUAUCCUACGUAAUUUUCUUUUUCUUUCCCACUAAUAAAGUUUCUGCUCUAACAAACCCAAAAAAAAAAAAAAAAAUGUGUACAAAAGCAUUACUCCUUGUCUUGAAAAUAAUAAUAAAUUUAUUAUUCUUUCGGGGGAAGAAAAAAAAGAAUCUAGGAAUAUUACGUGAAAGUUUGCAUGAAUCUGUAAGGUUGGCAUAGGGUCAGGAUAGGCAUUGGAAAUGGAAGAUGAAAGAAGGUAGUGGCUAGAAUAGAACUUAGAAGAAGAUGGGGGAUGAGGCCCGUGAGAUAUUUGUAACGUUUAUUGAGAGAGACCAAAAAAAAAACAAAACAAAAAGAAAAAACCAUUAGCUAGCGUUUAGUUUAUUUGUGAGUAUCAUCACUAUGUACGCUUCGUUUCCGGUUUCCUCUCACGGGAAUCCACUCACCCCUCUCACGUGUUCCUCUCUCUCUCUGUCUCUCUCUGUUCAUAUUCAUUGACGUAUAUAUAUACACACACACACACAUGCAUCCAUCUGGAUCAAGCUGUUUUUCUUCAGCUUGUUAUUUUACGGCUCCUCUACGUUUCCUCUCUAGCUAGUUUACAUUUUCAUCCCUUAACAACUUAAUUUGGGCGGUAGGAAAUUUGCCACAUUUCUUUCGCAAUUUAAUGAACUAACUAGUACUUACCACUAGCUAAUUAGUUAUAUGCUCAAUUUGGUAAUUAUACAUAAAUUAAUUUGGAACGUUUCUCAAUAUUGAUUGAUUGGAACCUUUCUCAAUAUUGAUUGAUUGAUAGUCACAUAUAUACAAGUAUACUGAGACCAUGCUUCAGUUUUUCAUUGCAAUACAACAGUGACUGAUGGGCAAAUUUAUAGGGAAUCAAAAGUGCCCCAUACUUUGUAAGCUCAUUUAGAGAGAAAUGGAAAAAUCUCUGCUCAUAGGUGUCUCUUUCUUUCCCAUGCAUGCCAGAGUAAACAAGAUCUCCUGGUUCCUAGAAAACAAAUUUUCAUGAUCCAAGUCACAAUAAGACAACGAGCUAAAGAUCAAUGAUCCCGGCCCAGCUAUUGAAUUGAGUAAUGUUGGAGGGAAAUUAAAAAGAUAUCUUUGCAGUUUCAGAGUUGUACUUGCAUCUGCUUCCCUGACUGAAUAAAAACCACAUAAGGCCAAGCAAUAGCUAUUUUUAUAUGACAUUUAUGGGCCUCUCCUCUGGCUAACUAGCUGCCUGCCUUUACUGAUCAGUUCAAUAAAGCACACCAAUACACAAAUAAAUAAUAUUUAUGACCUAAAGUUCCAUUUAAUUUGUUAUCGCAUUCUUUUUAGUUGCCGGUCUCCUUUGAAAGGGAAUUCUAUAGCCAAAGUUGUUUUAUUAAUUAGUCUGUUAUUUUACCAUAUGGGCAAAUGAGCAGAUACAAUUAAUAUAUAAUAUUUCGGAGGGGGUGUCCCAUUCGGUAAUAAAGCUUUUGUCCUAAAAGCCAGAUGAUGGUGAGUGAUUAAAGAGAUAAGGAAUUUUACACGUGUAAGUUACCAUAUAGGAGAGACUUGUUAAAGUUGAAUUGGGUAAAAAGGGGCAUUACGUUGAAAGGAAUAGACAAGGGCUGAUGUGUCUAGCGGAGCCCCACUGCUUGCUGCUGUGUCGGCCAGAGGCCAGAGCUAGCUUGAUCCACUGACUCAAGUACACUCUCCUUGAUCAGCCCCUACUACUGUCAUCACUGCCCUCUCACUCAUCUUUUUACCUAAAUGGUAUCUGAUCAAUAUCUCAAUCUAUCUUUCUUUGUCAUUUUGAUUAUUAUUUUUUAAGUAAACGCUUAUCCAUUUCACCUCCCAUGCAUCAAAUCAUGAAUGAUUUUUAAGGCUUCCUUAUCAAGUCUUUUUUGUACAAUUUAAGUUAACCAUGUUGUUGCGUGAUGUUAAUAAUUUAAUAAUCCGUGUUAUUUAAAAUUACAAUGAAUUAAUGAUAAUCCAAUCUUACACUUAGUUCUUUUUAUAGUUAUUGGAUGACUAAGUUGUUUAAUUUUUUAUUUUUAAAUAAUCUUCCAAAGGAGUCCUCUCAACGUAAAUUGUAGAAAAAAAAUUAUGA